This 484-nucleotide ribosomal RNA is filed under the name uncultured bacterium. RNAcentral describes it as "partial 16S ribosomal RNA". It matches the Rfam family "Bacterial small subunit ribosomal RNA", at positions 28 to 507 of the family's 1533-position model. The record is from RNAcentral.
AUUGAACGCUGGCGGCAUGCUUUACACAUGCAAGUCGAACGGCAGCGCGGGCUUCGGCCUGGCGGCGAGUGGCGAACGGGUGAGUAAUGCAUCGGAACGUGCCCAGUAGUGGGGGAUAGCCCGGCGAAAGCCGGAUUAAUACCGCAUACGACCUGAGGGUGAAAGCGGGGGACCGAAAGGCCUCGCGCUAUUGGAGCGGCCGAUGUCGGAUUAGCGAGUUGGUGGGGUAAAGGCUUACCAAGGCGACGAUCCGUAGCUGGUCUGAGAGGACGACCAGCCACACUGGGACUGAGACACGGCCCAGACUCCUACGGGAGGCAGCAGUGGGGAAUUUUGGACAAUGGGGGCAACCCUGAUCCAGCCAUGCCGCGUGCGGGAAGAAGGCCUUCGGGUUGUAAACCGCUUUUGUUCGGGAAGAAAUCCUCUGGGCUAAUACCCCGGGGGGAUGACGGUACCGGAAGAAUAAGCACCGGCUAACUACGUG